This 311-nucleotide unclassified non-coding RNA is filed under the name Hevea brasiliensis (rubber tree). Lineage: Eukaryota; Viridiplantae; Streptophyta; Magnoliopsida; Malpighiales; Euphorbiaceae. The record is from RNAcentral.
CAUGCAUUUUUCAGUUUGUCAAAUUUGGAAAAGAUUUGGCUCCUGGUGUUGAUGUAAUCAUAGAAUUCAGGAAUUUUAUCUAGUUGACAAUGCGUGUAUUUUCUCUGCAAAGUCUUUCUCCUUUACUAAUCCAAAAUUGCCCAAAUAUCUCUGGCAUAUGAAACUGAGAAGUUCAGCGUAUGACAGGAAAUAAAAAUUAGAAUGAAAAUUGGAAACUAUUAUGUUUAUGGAUGAAGGUUAAGCAACUAUGGCAGCUUCAUGAACUUGUUUUUUCUCUCUUUUCUUGUUCUGCCUUGAUAAUUUUGCAAUCG